RNAcentral lists this ribosomal RNA (490 nucleotides) under Alternaria alternata. Its description in RNAcentral is "eukaryotic LSU rRNA". It matches the Rfam family "Eukaryotic large subunit ribosomal RNA", at positions 151 to 659 of the family's 3401-position model. Lineage: Eukaryota; Fungi; Ascomycota; Dothideomycetes; Pleosporales; Pleosporaceae. The record is from RNAcentral.
AGAGGGCGCUUUGGCUUUGGCAGCGGUCCAAGUUCCUUGGAACAGGACGUCACAGAGGGUGAGAAUCCCGUACGUGGUCGCUGGCUAUUGCCGUGUAAAGCCCCUUCGACGAGUCGAGUUGUUUGGGAAUGCAGCUCUAAAUGGGAGGUACAUUUCUUCUAAAGCUAAAUAUUGGCCAGAGACCGAUAGCGCACAAGUAGAGUGAUCGAAAGAUGAAAAGCACUUUGGAAAGAGAGUCAAACAGCACGUGAAAUUGUUGAAAGGGAAGCGCUUGCAGCCAGACUUGCUUACAGUUGCUCAUCCGGGUUUCUACCCGGUGCACUCUUCUGUAGGCAGGCCAGCAUCAGUUUGGGCGGUAGGAUAAAGGUCUCUGUCACGUACCUCCUUUCGGGGAGGCCUUAUAGGGGAGACGACAUACUACCAGCCUGGACUGAGGUCCGCGCAUCUGCUAGGAUGCUGGCGUAAUGGCUGUAAGCGGCCCGUCUUGAAA